RNAcentral lists this ribosomal RNA (253 nucleotides) under uncultured bacterium. RNAcentral's name for it is "partial 16S ribosomal RNA". It matches the Rfam family "Bacterial small subunit ribosomal RNA", at positions 524 to 776 of the family's 1533-position model. The record is from RNAcentral.
GACAGAGGAGGCGAGCGUUAUCCGGAGUUAUUGGGCGUAAAGCGUCCGUAGGUGGUCUGACAAGUCUGGGGUUAAAGCCCGGAGCCUAACUCCGGAUCAGCCCUGGAAACUGCCAGACUAGAGUAAGGUAGGGGUUGCGGGAAUUCCCGGUGUAGCGGUGAAAUGCGUAGAUAUCGGGAAGAACACCAGUGGCGAAAGCGCGCAACUGGGCCAUUACUGACACUGAGGGACGAAAGCUAGGGGAGCGAAUGGG